GAAUAUUGGACAAUGGGGGGACCCCUGAUCCAGCCAUGCCGCGAGUGUGAAGAGGGCCUUUUGGUUGUAAAGCACUUUAAGCGAGGAGGAGGCUACUCUAGUUAAUACGUAGGGUGUGUGGACGUUACUAGCAGAUUGAGCACAGGCGCACCCUGUGCCAGCAGCCGCGUUAAUACAGAGGGUGCAAGCGUUAAGCGGAUGUACUGGGAGUAAAGCGCGCGUAGGUAGCAAAUUAAGUAAAAUGUGAAAUCCCCGAGCUUAACGUGGGAAUUGCAUUCGAUACUGGUUGGCUAGAGUAUGGGAGAGGAUGGUAGAAUUCCAGGUGUAGCGGUGAAAUGCGUAGAGAUCUGGAGGAAUACCGAUGGCGAAGGCAGCCAUCUGGCCUAAUACUGACACUGAGGUGCGAAAGCAUGGGGAGCAAACA
This 424-nucleotide ribosomal RNA is filed under the name uncultured bacterium. RNAcentral describes it as "partial 16S ribosomal RNA". It matches the Rfam family "Bacterial small subunit ribosomal RNA", at positions 359 to 774 of the family's 1533-position model. The record is from RNAcentral.